RNAcentral lists this ribosomal RNA (531 nucleotides) under soil bacterium LJ-P1-1. RNAcentral's name for it is "bacterial SSU rRNA". It matches the Rfam family "Bacterial small subunit ribosomal RNA", at positions 355 to 896 of the family's 1533-position model. The record is from RNAcentral.
UGGGGAAUAUUGCACAAUGGGCGAAAGCCUGAUGCAGCGACGCCGCGUGAGGGAUGACGGCCUUCGGGUUGUAAACCUCUUUCAGCAGGGAAGAAGCGAAAGUGACGGUACCUGCAGAAGAAGCGCCGGCUAACUACGUGCCAGCAGCCGCGGUAAUACGUAGGGCGCGAGCGUUGUCCGGAAUUAUUGGGCGUAAAGAGCUCGUAGGCGGCUUGUCACGUCGGUUGUGAAAGCCCGGGGCUUAACCCCGGGUCUGCAGUCGAUACGGGCAGGCUAGAGUUCGGUAGGGGAGAUCGGAAUUCCUGGUGUAGCGGUGAAAUGCGCAGAUAUCAGGAGGAACACCGGUGGCGAAGGCGGAUCUCUGGGCCGAUACUGACGCUGAGGAGCGAAAGCGUGGGGAGCGAACAGGAUUAGAUACCCUGGUAGUCCACGCCGUAAACGGUGGGCACUAGGUGUGGGCGACAUUCCACGUCGUCCGUGCCGCAGCUAACGCAUUAAGUGCCCCGCCUGGGGAGUACGGCCGCAAGGCUA